CCGCGUGGCAGACCGUGCAGCUGCGAGCACCGGGCCGGAUAAAGGCUGGCAUGGGCCCUCCAAGCGGCGCCUGGCCCCUUCCAGUGCAGACCGGCCCUGCCUCGCCUGCGCCGGCCCGCGCGUGGUCCGAGGGCAGCUUCUCCAGGCCCUCGGCGUCCUCCCCGGACCUGGCCUGGACGUCACGCGCCGGCCGAGGAGGCGCGGCGCCCCCGGGGUCUCCCAGCCCCAGCAAACGUCCAGCCGCCAGGCGGGCCCCGGGGAGAGCGCUGCAGCCGGAGCCGCUGAAGAGCAAUUUUUCAAGAACAAAAAGGUCAGCGCGCGCCGGCCCGAUCGAUCGUCCUCCCGCUCCGCUCCCCCGGCAGGGGGCUGGGGGCCGGCCCACCACCUCGUCGCCCUCCGCGAUGCCCAUCGUUACCGGCACAGCGGGGCUCCCCAGCGAGCACCCCCGCAACACGGCAGGCCCGUACAGUCGUCCAGAGCCACUUCCGUCCAUCCGGCACCGCCGAGGGAGAGAGCCUGGAGUCGUGUGCUCGCCCGUGGGUGCGCGGCCCUGGGCCGCGGAGACGGCUCCGGCGCCGGCUUUGCCCCCGCCGGGCAGAGAGGACCUCACGCGCCCGGGCCAGGCGCUCGCUGAAGUCGGCUCCGCUGGCCCGCCGUUGGGCAGAGGCUGCAAAACAGGGCUGGAGCCCUGGGCUGGCCGGCGGCGAUCCACGCGGCCCCCACGCAGCCUUCGGGCAGCUGCAGGGACAGAGCAGAAGACAGGAGUGCGUGUGGGGGGCCAGACCAGCGGUGCCUGGGGCCCUACAGACCCCAAGGCAGCUCCCGUACCCCCACGCCCACGGUCCUCCAAGCCCCCAGCCCCUUCCCGGGCUGCUUCUGGGAAGGAGGCCGCGCCACAGAGGCUCGCUCGCCUGCCCGUCUCCAGCCUCACCGGGGCCGCCGUUUCCGCAGCAGAGCAGGAUGCGCGGGGCCGGGGGCGACGGGGCGAGACCCGCAGCUCACUGAGUCUCCUGGCUCAAGCAGCCGGGACGCGGGCGUGGGGGAGAAUAGGCUUUGCACCCUCCGCUCUGCUCAAGAAGGGCGCACACCUCGACACACACAAAGGGCAGGGACCCCACAAGACCCGGACCCUUCUGGGAGCAGGAAUCGGCCCCAGGCAGACGGGGGCUCAGCCCUCCUUCCACCCCCGAGCCCCCGGGCCUGGGGCUGGCAGCACCGACGCGCUGCUUGAGGCCGGGCGGAUGCUGCACGGCCAGGUCUGGGCCACCCUGGAGCAGGGGGCUGUCUCGGCAGGGCUCCCCUGGCAGCGCAGGCCGGCUGGGAACGGGGCAGAUUUAUCGCCCUUGGCACGGAGCCGAGAGGCCCGGCCGGCAUCUGGGCAGUUACCGGGGUUUCCUGUCGCUGCCGAAAGCAUCCAGAGCACAAACGCUGGGAACCCCGGCGCUGAGCUGGGACCCCGACGGGGACCUGCACCGCGGGGGCCACAGCCCAGCACCACGGCAUGGGACGGAGCCACGGGCCCAGCCCACCCAGGGGCAAGCCGGCAGGGGCGGGCCGGCAUGGACACGGGGCCGUGCCCUCAGCCCGGAGGACGCCGAAUGUGGCACCCAGAGCCCCAGACAGACGGAGGCCGGGCCCGGUGCAUGCACUGCCCAGGGCCGCCUCGCAGCCUUGCAGGGUGCCAGGGGCAGGCAGCCCGCAGCACCGGUAACGCAGGGCUGAGGUUGCAUCAUGGAGAAGUCGGAGCAAAGCCCCCGAGACCCAGCGGCACUUCCCUCCUGGCUCGGGGCCAGCUCCCCCCACCAGCUGAGCCAGCUGCUGGCUUGGCCUCCAGCUCCGGGGACGGCGCGCGCCUCCUGCCAAGGGCCCCGAGGCCCAGGACAGCCUUGGGCAGCUCCCGGAGGGGAGAGCGGGGGAAGCUGCAGCCGCCGGAGGCUGCAUGA
Molecule: long non-coding RNA, 1943 nt
Organism: Crocodylus porosus (Australian saltwater crocodile)
Lineage: Eukaryota; Metazoa; Chordata; Crocodylia; Crocodylidae
Source: Ensembl